UACCUACGGGUGGCAGCAGUAGGGAAUCUUGCGCAAUGGGCGAAAGCCUGACGCAGCCAUGCCGCGUGAAUGAUGAAGGUCUUAGGAUUGUAAAAUUCUUUCACCGGGGACGAUAAUGACGGUACCCGGAGAAGAAGCUCCGGCUAACUUCGUGCCAGCAGCCGCGGUAAUACGAAGGGGGCUAGCGUUGCUCGGAAUUACUGGGCGUAAAGGGAGCGUAGGCGGACAGUUUAGUCAGAGGUGAAAGCCCAGGGCUCAACCUUGGAAUUGCCUUUGAUACUGGCUGUCUUGAGUACGGGAGAGGUGAGUGGAACUCCGAGUGUAGAGGUGAAAUUCGUAGAUAUUCGGAAGAACACCAGUGGCGAAGGCGACUCACUGGCCCGUUACUGACGCUGAGGCGCGAAAGCGUGGGGAGCAAACAGGAUUAGAUACCCCUGUAGUCCA
This 444-nucleotide ribosomal RNA is filed under the name uncultured Caulobacteraceae bacterium. RNAcentral's name for it is "bacterial SSU rRNA". It matches the Rfam family "Bacterial small subunit ribosomal RNA", at positions 335 to 797 of the family's 1533-position model. Lineage: Bacteria; Pseudomonadati; Pseudomonadota; Alphaproteobacteria; Caulobacterales; Caulobacteraceae. The record is from RNAcentral.